AUCCGCGCGCGCAAAUACAUACACACACAUGUACAUGAAAAACCCUAGACAUUGAAUCCAACAUUCUAAUAAUUCAUUUGUCUCAUGUAAGAUUUCUUUUUUAAAAAAAAAAAAAUCGUUUAUUUUUUUUUAUUUGACAGUAUUUCUAUUACCUGUUGAAAAUAUUCCGUUUUCGUUGUUGAUUUUCAUUCUUUGGAAUUUACAAGGCGGAGGAGGAAAAUUGGAAUUCCCAUAAUACCCCUCGGUUGAAGCAGCUGAUGAAUCUCCUACAACUGAUUGUGAAAAAAAGAAAACUUUCGGAGGAGGCAUCGUCAUAUGAUGAGUUGAGUGAAGCAGCGAAACCGAGUGAUUUAGCAUGUAAUUUUGAUGUGCUGAAGUUUGAUGGAGAAAAUUGCAGAAAGGCAAUUGCUAGGACGGUAAUGGUAAAACAUUUACUUUUUAAUGUUCUGUAACUGCACUUUGUCAUAGUUUUAGUCUGCACUUUGCGCUAGUUUUAAUCUCCCAGAUUCGAUAACUGUUGGUAUAUUAGAGGCAGCAAUUGAAAACACUGUUUAGGGAGGAUCCCCAAAGGGUACCUAUGUCUCAAUUAAAUGGCUAGUGAAUGGCAGUUGCAUAGGAAGAUGCUGAAUUUUCUUUUUUACUUCCGGAUAAGGGCCGGGGAGACCAUUGGGAAGCUAAUUGAGAGUUCUUUGCUUGACUUGGGAUAUUAAACAGGUAUUGGCAAUUACGGUUGAUAAUUCAAGUGUUUACGGUGAUGCUAUUAGUUAUGUCAAGAGGUAGUUGAACGAUUGGAGUGGAAAUGCGCUGUUGUUGGAUGGUGAGCGGAGGUUUUCUUAUGAUAACCCUAAGGUUGAAGAGAUGAUCAAAGAGGUUAAAGAGCCCUUGUCGCGUCUUUAUGAGUUGUACGGUGCAUUGAACACUUCCGGUGACACCAAAGCUCCUAUCGAUGCUCAAGCAAGUGGAACGGAUAUGGAAAAUGGAAAAGACAGAGAUGAUUCUGAGUGGAGGUCUUCUUAUAAGAAGUAUUUGAAAGGAAAAUAUGGCACUAAGCUGACAAUUCAAGAUGAUAGGUACUUGUCGGGAACUAAUGAGUUUUUCGAAUGGCAACUUCAAACAAUCUAAAAUGGUGGAAAGUAUGUUCUCAGAAGUACCCUAUUUUAAUAGCGAGGGACCUAUUUUUUAUUCGAGUAUCUGAGUUUUCAUUUAACACUGAUGGGCGGAUUCUUGAUUUGUUUCAAAGUUCAUUGGGCCUUGAGACAGUUCAGGCGGUAAUAGGUUUACAUAAUUGGUUACAAUCCUCUGCUGCUCGUGUAGAUAAUUUCACCCAGGAGAUGGAGAUUAAUGAUUUAAUUGAAUCUGGUAACAAUUUAAAGGCUUGUUGCAAUUUGUCUUUAUUUAUUCAGUACUUUUUUAAUUAGUUCCUAUAAUGUUUUCUCUUUUUGCCUCGUUUGUUUCAAGUAGAGCUUUAAGGAUCAUGACAAGGAAUGGAGCAUAUGGCAUAUGGCUAUGAAUUAAUAUGAUAUCCUUGCUAAUUGUUUUAAUAAGGUACUUAUUGACUUCUUAAGAUUUAAGUAUUCUGUUUAUCUUAUCUUAUGCCUAACAUAUUUUGCUUUCAUUUUGUUUUUUAGUUGGCGGGUAAUGUUUUAAGGAUUGGAAACUAUGAGGUUCUGAAUUUCAAAUUUUGAAACGGGAUCAUGCAUGCUUGGGGGCUUAGAAGUGAUGUUGGAGUGUGGAUUGAGGAAACAAAUACAUCUGGAUUGGAAUGCUUGGCUUUGAUGCAUUGAAGUCAAUAGGUAUGUAUCUAUAGUGUUCUUCAUCUGGUCUACUCUGAUUCUCAUUCUAUAUAUUAUAAAACCACUCAUAGUGAUAUAACAAUGACAUAUUGAUUUGGUCGAGUUUUCAUCUUUAAUUUUCCCAGAUAUUUGAUCUCAAGUGAGAAAUGAAUGGUAAAACACCAUACCACCUGUUCUUUCAAAUACAAGUCAGUAAGGAUCAUCUCA
RNAcentral lists this long non-coding RNA (2000 nucleotides) under Citrus maxima (pomelo). RNAcentral describes it as "long non-coding RNA (CMAX_LNC000794)". Lineage: Eukaryota; Viridiplantae; Streptophyta; Magnoliopsida; Sapindales; Rutaceae. The record is from RNAcentral.